GCCUUCGUAGUGUAGUGGUCAGCACGCUGGGCGCGUAUUCCAGAGGUCCGUGGUUCGAGUCCCGGCGAAGGCG
Molecule: transfer RNA, 73 nt
Filed under: Stegodyphus mimosarum
Lineage: Eukaryota; Metazoa; Arthropoda; Arachnida; Araneae; Eresidae
Rfam family: tRNA
About the family: Transfer RNA (tRNA) molecules are approximately 80 nucleotides in length.
Source: Rfam by way of RNAcentral